UAAUUUAUAUUUUAAUUAAGAUUAUUAGAAAUUUAUUUUUUAGUUAUGAUUGGGGUGAUUUUUAAAGAUUAUUAAUCUUUAAAAUUUUUUAAUAAAAAAGUUCCAUUAGUAGUGAUUUUUUGAUAAAAAUACUCUAGGGAUAACAGCGUUAUUAUUUUGGAUAGUUCAUAUAGAUAAAAUAGUUUGCGACCUCGAUGUUGGAUUAGGAUUCUUUUAUGAUGAAGAAGUUAUAAGGGAGAAGUUUGCUCAACUUUUAAAGUCCUACUUGAUCUGAGUUCAGCCCGGG
This 286-nucleotide ribosomal RNA is filed under the name Ornithodoros coriaceus. RNAcentral describes it as "partial 16S ribosomal RNA". The stretch from base 139 to 286 matches the Rfam family "Bacterial large subunit ribosomal RNA", at positions 2473 to 2620 of the family's 2925-position model. Lineage: Eukaryota; Metazoa; Arthropoda; Arachnida; Ixodida; Argasidae. The record is from RNAcentral.